GACAACAAAAGCAGAAUGUCACAAGCAAGGACUAUAACACGGUGAAAUAUCAUAUCAAUGUAUCGAAAUAAAAUUUCAACGAUAUAAUAGCAUAUAAAUGUCAAAUUCACAUAUCAAACUUUGCUUUUGCAGAACACAAAUAAAAAUGAUAUAAAACAACAUCAACCAAAGUAUAUAAAUUGCUUACAAAAUUAUUACAAAGCUUACAUACGAAACAAAUCUGCACAAGCAUGACGCAAACGACCAGACAUCGACAAUGUUACAUUAAUAUAUCAAAAGAGAAUUCAUCAGCAAAAUGACAUGUAAAUGUUGAAUUCGCAUAUCAAAGUCCGAUUUUACACAAUGUAGUGAAAUAAAACAAAAGCCAACAACAACAGAAGCAUUAUAUUUACAAUAUUUCCAAAGUUAUUUACAGUGCUCAAAUGCAAAAAAAAAAAUCAGAACAAGCACAACGCAAGCGAAUCAAUAUCAAUAAUAGAAAUAUACAGAGUAACGUAAAUAGGUCAACACAAUAGAAAAUUGAACGAGUUCAAAUCAUUACCGAUGAAAACGAUGAUAGAUGUUGCGUUUGUGUGUGACAUAGAGGUGGUGCAGUUUGUGCUUGGAGCUUCGCUUGUUGUAGCAGAGAAUGGAUGCAAAGUUAUGCUGCUGUUGAGUUGUUGUUGUUUCUUAGAGGUGGACCGGUGGUAGUGUUGUGCGGUCGGAGGUUUGAUGUAGUCGUCGGAGUAAAGCACAACAGCGGGAGUAAAUUGAGGGAAAAGGUUGUUCUGAUGAAGGGCGUCAAUGUGUUUCAGUUUGUGUGUUUGAGGCGGUAAGUUGAAUGGUAUGAAACAAUGGUGAAGCUAAGUUCCAGUGAGUUAACAAUGAAGCGAAAGAAGUUUGUAUGUUAAGAUGAAGGUGACGACAUUGAUGAGAGAGGAAGAUGGGUGUUCGAAGGGUGGUUUUGGUUGGAGAAUGGCGACGUGAGAGAGUAAAGUGGUUGAGGGGUUUGUUUGUGUAGCUCGGAGAAGGAAGGUUGCAGUGGGCUUUCUUCGACAACCAGAGUAAUGGGGUAAGGCGGAGGUGAGUGAUGUUAUGAGUGAUUGAGGUGUGCUAUGGGUUAAUGGUUGCAUAAGGAGGGAGGGAAUAUGUGAUGAAAUUGAUGAAGAUAAGAAAUAUUUUUGACAAAGAAAAUGAGAGAGAGAAUCAUAUGAGAGUAUUGAAAAUGUAUGAGUUAUCUAAGUGAGAGUUUUUUUUGUGUUAUGAUGCUGGUACCAUGAAGAAGUUAGUGAAUAGUAUAUUUCCCCCAUUUUCAAAAGUGAAGAGAGAAUGUGUCUUAAGGUCGCGUUUGGAUUCUUGCAUCUGGAGAAAAACCAUUUUUCUCACUUUUCUUUCCAUAUUUCCUUUGUUGCGUGGUCCCCCCAUGUUUCACUCUCUUUCUGCCAAUAAUCCAUCAAAUUUAGAGAGACAUUAGUGGGGGUGUAUCACUCUCUUUUUUACUAAAAAAUGGAAAAGAAGA
This 1498-nucleotide long non-coding RNA is filed under the name Lathyrus oleraceus (garden pea). RNAcentral's name for it is "Pisum sativum (pea) long non-coding RNA (PSAT_LNC025970)". The record is from RNAcentral. Lineage: Eukaryota; Viridiplantae; Streptophyta; Magnoliopsida; Fabales; Fabaceae.